Molecule: ribosomal RNA, 430 nt
Filed under: Pseudomonadota bacterium
Lineage: Bacteria; Pseudomonadati; Pseudomonadota
Description: Proteobacteria bacterium partial 16S ribosomal RNA
Rfam family: Bacterial small subunit ribosomal RNA
Source: RNAcentral
UGGGGAAUAUUGGACACUGGGCGAAAGCCUGAUCCAGCCAUGCCGCGUGUGUGAAGAAGGCCUUUUGGUUGUAAAGCACUUUAAGCGAGGAGGAGGCUACUAGUACUAAUACUACUGGAUAGUGGACGUUACUCGCAGAAUAAGCACCGGCUAACUCUGUGCCAGCAGCCGCGGUAAUACAGAGGGUGCGAGCGUUAAUCGGAUUUACUGGGCGUAAAGCGUGCGUAGGCGGCUGAUUAAGUCGGAUGUGAAAUCCCUGAGCUUAACUUGGGAAUUGCAUUCGAUACUGGUUAGCUAGAGUGUGGGAGAGGAUGGUAGAAUUCCAGGUGUAGCGGUGAAAUGCGUAGAGAUCUGGAGGAAUACCGAUGGCGAAGGCAGCCAUCUGGCCUAACACUGACGCUGAGGUACGAAAGCAUGGGGAGCAAACAGG